CUCAGCACCUCCCAAGUAGCCCUAGAGUUAAACACAUUCAAAGUACAAUCAGUAGCUUUCCAUUCAAAUACAUCAUUGACAUCAUUAGGAAGUGGAAGAGGAAUAGUAGUUAAAUCAGGAGUCUGCCUGUUUCUUCCCCGGAUCUAAAACUCUGGAAAGUAAAGUCAUGAAUAUUAGAACGCAGUACAUAGUUUAGCAGAACUUGUAGCUUUAAAAUUAAAGUCAUAGCAGCAACGAUCGUAGUGGAUCCAAAUUCAUAAAAACAAUUACAACCCACAU
RNAcentral lists this long non-coding RNA (279 nucleotides) under Brassica napus (rape). RNAcentral's name for it is "long non-coding RNA (BNAP_LNC022259)". Lineage: Eukaryota; Viridiplantae; Streptophyta; Magnoliopsida; Brassicales; Brassicaceae. The record is from RNAcentral.